GUUUACGCUAGCAAAGGAAGCUAAAGCUACAGGUUGUUUUUCUUCUCUUUUCUUCUCCCUAAAUAAACACAUCGGAAACAUGGUUUGUGAAAAAUGUGAGAAGAAGCUUGGUAGAGUUAUCACUCCGGACACUUGGAAUGAUGGAGCUCGGAAUACAACAGAAAGUGGAGGGCGCAAGUUGAACGAAAACAAAAUGCUGACAUCU
Xiphophorus maculatus (southern platyfish) is the source of this 205-nucleotide long non-coding RNA. RefSeq lists it as uncharacterized. NCBI's taxonomy places the organism in Eukaryota, Metazoa, Chordata, Actinopteri, Cyprinodontiformes, Poeciliidae. The record is from RefSeq and is a predicted model, not a curated record. The transcript is spliced from 3 exons.